GUGGUUGUGGCUCAGUUGUACAGCGCUUGCCUAGCAUGUGUGAGACACUGGGUUUGAUUCUCAGCACCACA
This 71-nucleotide transfer RNA is filed under the name Marmota monax (woodchuck). RNAcentral's name for it is "tRNA.Ala". The record is from RNAcentral. Lineage: Eukaryota; Metazoa; Chordata; Mammalia; Rodentia; Sciuridae.